Molecule: unclassified non-coding RNA, 346 nt
Filed under: soil metagenome
Description: partial contains 5.8S ribosomal RNA, internal transcribed spacer 2, and large subunit ribosomal RNA
Rfam family: 5.8S ribosomal RNA (bases 1-120)
Source: RNAcentral
GAUGAAGAACGUAGCGAAAUGCGAUAAGUAAUGUGAAUUGCAGAAUUCAGUGAAUCAUCGAAUCUUUGAACGCACAUUGCGCCCGCCAGUAUUCUGGCGGGCAUGCCUGUUCGAGCGUCAUUUCAACCCUCAAGCCCUCGGGUUUGGUGUUGGGGAUCGGCGAGCCUUUCUGGCAAGCCGGCCCCGAAAUCUAGUGGCGGUCUCGCUGCAGCCUCCAUUGCGUAGUAGUAAAACCCUCGCAACUGGAACGCGGCGCGGCCAAGCCGUUAAACCCCCAACUUCUGAAUGUUGACCUCGGAUCAGGUAGGAAUACCCGCUGAACUUAAGCAUAUCAAUAAGCGGAGGA